GCUCGUGUAGCUCAGGGAGAGCGCAAGACUGAAGAUCUUGAGGUCCCUGGUUCGAUCUCGGGCGCGAGCA
Molecule: non-coding RNA, 70 nt
Organism: Dunaliella salina
Lineage: Eukaryota; Viridiplantae; Chlorophyta; Chlorophyceae; Chlamydomonadales; Dunaliellaceae
Source: the annotation of a GenBank genome assembly